This 3765-nucleotide small RNA is filed under the name Pongo abelii (Sumatran orangutan). RNAcentral describes it as "processed transcript". Lineage: Eukaryota; Metazoa; Chordata; Mammalia; Primates; Hominidae. The record is from RNAcentral.
AUAUUUCUGAGGUGGCCCUUUGGGAGCAAAAAGAAACAUUACAUUUACAAAAGUAAGUUUUGAUAAAACAUUUUGGCCCCACAUAGAAAAGGGCCCCUACCAGCAUAGUCUCUUGUUAGAAAACUCUUCUUGGGCAAAAAGAAUGGAAAAAGAGGGUUUUGGAAAAUGAUGAAAAUGUAGAAGAAGGGAAUGAAGAAGAGGAUUUGGAAGAGGAUAUUCCCAAGCGAAAGAACAGGACUAGAGGACGGGCUCGCGGCUCUGCGGGGGGCAGAAGGAGGCACGACGCCGCCUCUCAGGAAGAUCACGACAAACCUUACGUCUGUGACAUCUGUGGCAAGCGCUACAAGAACCGACCGGGGCUCAGCUACCACUAUGCUCACACUCACCUGGCCAGCGAGGAGGGGGAUGAAGCUCAAGACCAGGAGACUCGGUCCCCACCCAACCACAGAAAUGAGAACCACAGGCCCCAGAAAGGACCGGAUGGAACAGUCAUUCCCAAUAACUACUGUGACUUCUGCUUGGGGGGCUCCAACAUGAACAAGAAGAGUGGGCGGCCUGAAGAGCUGGUGUCCUGCGCAGACUGUGGACGCUCUGCUCAUUUGGGAGGAGAAGGCAGGAAGGAGAAGGAGGCAGCGGCCGCAGCACGUACCACGGAGGACUUAUUCGGUUCCACGUCAGAAAGUGACACGUCAACUUUCCACGGCUUUGAUGAGGACGAUUUGGAAGAGCCUCGCUCCUGUCGAGGACGCCGCAGUGGCCGGGGUUCGCCCACAGCAGAUAAAAAGGGCAGUUGCUAAACCCACGGAAGAGACUCUCUGGGCAAUUAGCCAUCCCCCUCUGACUUUGGUCAUUGUGCUGGUUCUGAUAUAUAUUUUUUUUUAAUGAAAGGCAACUUUAGAUUUUCCCUCUAUCCUUGCUUUUUUUCCCCUCACCUCCCAUGUGUCCCUCCAUCCCUCCCCCCACCACUCUGUUCUGGGUAUGUACAACAGAAACACAAACUACUGAAACAAAACAAAACAGCAGAAUGAGCGUUCUUCCGAGAGAUGGCAUCGUGAUGCGCUAUUUAUUUUCCAUAGAAAUAGGAAGUUAGACGGAUUGUCUCUUUUCUGAGGGGAGGGGGUCUUUUUGACAGGAGCAGAGUUGAUGUCCUCAAUUUUCGUAUUUAUUGGCAAAAGGAAGAGAAGAGGAACUUUGGGUUGGAAACAAAGAACCAAUAACAUUAAAACAUUAUUAUUUAUAUAUUCUAGCUAUUAUUAGAAUCAGACUGUUUUUGAGUGAGAGAGAGAGAGAGAGAGAGAAGGGAAAUCAAAGAAAUCGAAGCAAUAUCCUGUUUAGAGGCAAGCCACCCGGUGGGGAGAGUUUCCUCAAUGGGAGACGGUUGCACUUUCUGUGCCCCACGGAGUUUGCGGCUCCCCGCGGCAGACCCCUCCCUCAUUCUCCUCCCUGACCUUUCCAUCUUCCUCUCUGCUUGCGAGAAAAUGUCAGUAGUUCCAGAGAAGUCGGGGUGCCUAUGCCUGGCCUCCCUCCACACCUGGGCCCUGACCAGCCGCCUCCUGGGCUCCUCCUCCUCCAUCAGUAGAGCUGCUGUUUUGUUAUUGCUGGUUUUUCCUCACUUUCCUCCUGGCAAAGAACGACUUCCAAAUGCAGGGAUGGAAUAUAAGCAGAAUGUCAUGGGCUCAGCAGUGACGCCACCACCCGAGGCCGAGGCCGUGCUUCUGGAAGAUAGAAGGAGACGUCAUCGUGUGUUUCCCCUCCCCUUGCCCCUGUUAAGAAACAUAUCAAUACCCAUUGGAUGAUCAAGGCUACCGUAUUUCUUCUAUUUUUUUUUAUAGUGCCCGCCAGGCACUUUGUUUUAUGUUUCCAAUAGCACUUCCUGAAAUAAACCAAAGCAACACUGCUCAAGGCCCCUGGGGCGAUGGAGAAGGCCACCCACCUCACACAGUCCCAAGAAUGACCGGCUGCGAGGUCCUAGUCAAAAGUCAACAUUAUGACCUUGGGGACUCCAGCAUCCUUCAAGCAAGCCAUUUCCGAAGAAGGUGAAAAGAAGCCAGGAUGAUUGGCACCUCCUCCUCCUCCUCCUCCUCUUCUUCCUCUUCCCUUGCCCAGCCCCCUCCUGUGCGUGUGUUUCAGACAACACAGGGGCCAGCACAGGAGUGGAAAAUCCUGCAGCGCAACUCAGCUCAGCCCACAGAAGCCUCGGGAAUGGCCUCAGUUUGUGCAAUAAGAAGAUUUUUUUUUUUCUUUUUAAAUCUUCAUUGUAUUUUCUUUGAUUGUCUGUGAGAAAGUACCCAGGUCCGCCUGGAAUUACUCUACAGUAGAAAUAACUGAAUACAAACAAACUGAUGGAAAAAAAGAGUUAACUAUUUUAUUUAUUUCAAUAUUUAAAAGGAAAAAAGUGCUGACAUUGCACAGUAUUUUUGUUUAAAGUACCUCCUACUUCAAAAGUUAAGCGCAAUUUUGUGAAGACAUGAAAUCGUAAGAGUACUUAAUGUAAAAUAAAAGACUGCAUAUUAACUCUAAAGAAAAAUGCCCCACAUUUUAAAUAAGAAAAUAAAGAUCAACUCUGCUCUCUCAGGCUUUUUAAAAAGCCAUUCAUGUAUGUGCUUUAGGUAUUUUUAUUUCUGCGAGUUGGAUGUGGUAAGUGAGGAGUGAUCAGUUUUUUUUUUCCUCCUUCAAAAGUCUAUUGAAAGUGUUGGUGAUGUUAAAUGAUUGUGUGUUAAGACUUGACUGAAAUAACUUAGCCACAAAUCAGCAGUUUCCCCCACCCUCACUGCCCCCUCACCCCAGGCAAGCCCCUUUUAUCUGAAUGUCAGAAGCAGCCUGCCUCCUAGUUAUCAUGUCUGAUGAGGUCUAGCUCAGAAAGGAAUUCCAUCUAGUGAUGGAAUAUAUCCCCUCAAGUUCAAUAGAUUCGAAUGCAGAGAGCUUUGUUUAAAAUAAUGCAGCAAAAAAAAAAAAAAAAAGCAAAAAUAAAAGCAUCAGCUGAGAUGAUAUUAGUUCAGUCACCUAACAACUCCUAGAAGAGAUGAGCAAAGGGAACUUUCUGCUGAGCUGGCUUCUGGGGCCUGAGCUUCCAGAGCUGUCCCCAAGGGCUAGGAAGGCCGACCUGAAAGAUGAGAACCUCAAAUUCAGUUGCUGGUGGGAGCCAAGGAAGAAGGCGAGUGUUCUAACAUGGCCCUUUCUGGCUGAGCUGGCGGAAGUUGGGUGUUUUGGCCGAUGAGAUGUAUCUUGGCGCUGUGUCUGUGGCCCAGCAAAGGUUCAGGGCCGACUGGCUGAGCCACUGGGUUCUACCCGCAGGCUCCCCACUGCACUGGGCUUUCACACAGCCAUGCUCUUGGGUUUCCCUCCCUUGUAAGCAGAGUCAUAAUAACACACAAACAAUCUAAGGCUGGGUAUUCUGGUCAGCAGAGGUCCUUGAGUCACAGUGUUACUGAAAUGGUUCUGAGCCUGAGAAUCUCUUUGGCCUCUGAAAGGGCAGGGCAGGUGGCACCGACUUCCUGCCAGUCCUUUCAGGUUUCCCGUUCAAAGCCAGUCCUGUUGGUGGAGGGGAUCAUCGAGAGUGUCUGUACCAUUUUGUAGCCCUUUUCUCUGACAUUUUCUGGUAGAAAAUGUCCCUUGUCAAAAUGCUAAUAAUUAUCAUCAUAAUCUGCUUUCCAACCAACUCCCACAAGUGACAACCUGUGUAGAACUGUGAUAAAGGUUUGCAUAAUGUAGGGUUUGUACCAAGUGUGUGUAAGUUUCUGUUAAAUAAAAGUCUGUUUCCAAUGC